AUUGAACGCUGGCGGCAUGCCUUACACAUGCAAGUCGAACGGCAGCACGGGAGCAAUCCUGGUGGCGAGUGGCGAACGGGUGAGUAAUAUAUCGGAACGUGCCCAGUCGUGGGGAUAACGUAGCGAAAGCUACGCUAAUACCGCAUACGAUCUAUGGAUGAAAGCGGGGGAUCGCAAGACCUCGCGCGAUUGGAGCGGCCGAUAUCAGAUUAGGUAGUUGGUGAGGUAAAGGCUCACCAAGCCGACGAUCUGUAGCUGGUCUGAGAGGACGACCAGCCACACUGGGACUGAGACACGGCCCAGACUCCUACGGAGGCAGCAGUGAGGAAUUUUUGGACAAAUGGGCGGCAAGCCUGAUCCAGCAAUGCCGCGUGCAGGAUG
This 381-nucleotide ribosomal RNA is filed under the name uncultured bacterium. RNAcentral's name for it is "bacterial SSU rRNA". It matches the Rfam family "Bacterial small subunit ribosomal RNA", at positions 30 to 410 of the family's 1533-position model. The record is from RNAcentral.